RNAcentral lists this long non-coding RNA (1982 nucleotides) under Marmota monax (woodchuck). The record is from RNAcentral. Lineage: Eukaryota; Metazoa; Chordata; Mammalia; Rodentia; Sciuridae.
GGCCGGCAGGGCCGGAGGAGAGCCGUCCCCACCUGGGGAGGGGGAUGCCUGGCCACGGACCGCUGCGGCAGGGGAGCCUGUUUUCCGGAUUCUAAUUUUUGCCCCUUCGCCCACCCGCUACAGCCGAGCAGAGGCUUCCGUGCGGGAGGAGAAGCAGUCAGGUGGGUGGCUGCCCGACCCCACGCCCCCGUGGUUUAUUGUUUUGCAUGUCUUCCCUACACACCCGGAGCUCGGACGGGAAAGGGUGGCACCGCACGGGACGAGGCCAGCGCUGGCCUGGGAUCUGGGUGCGUAGAGCUUCGGGGGCAAACGUUUUCUGAGUGGUCUGGGCCGGCAUUUCUUUCCUCUUUUAGUGAGCACCUCGACUUUGCCGUGCUGGCUGGGAGAAGAGUUCGUGGUCGCAGAAGAGUGUACUCCGUGUUCCAGUUUUCAGGCUGUGAGCAUCCCUCCCCUCCCCCGUUUUCCCCCAACAUCUAGCCAGUCCCCAAGUCUCAUUAAGCAUACCUUUGCAUCCUCUUUUCUUUCUCCUUGCAGUGUCAGUAUACGUCCAAAUCUGAACUUGUCUUCCCCCUGAAAACAUGUUCCUCUCUUUCCAAGUUAAUAACAGCGUUCAGCUGAUAACCAGGUUUUGUUCUGCUUUUGUUUUUUGUCUUGCUGUAUUGGGGAUUGAACCCAAUCCUACCAUCUAGCUCUCUAUCAUCUAGCCUCAUCCCCAGACCUUUUUUUAUUAUUUUGAGACAAGGUUUAAGUUGGCCAGGCUGGGCUGGAACUUGAGCUCUUCCUGCCUCAGGCUCCCAAGUUGCUGGAAUUACAGGCAUGCACCUCCAUGCCCUGUGGUUCUGUUCACUUUUAAUACACUAUGCUCUGGAAUCUGUCCUUAUGUCCUUCUACACUCUUACCCUGAAGUGUUUUUUCCAACACACAUUUCUAAUCAUGCAACCACCACCUUCAGCAUGCACAUCAGAGCUCUUUGUUAGCUCUGUUUUCUGGCCAGCUCUGACCAUGGCAUUUGGGCACUUGCCCUUUUGAAUGGCAACCUCUCUGUUUCUCCUGCUGCCUCUUCCUAACACAUGCUUUGGUUCUUUUCUCCCGGCAGAAAACCAUCCCUGAGUGUGGUUCCACAGGUUAUGUUGAGAAAAUUACAUGCAGCUCCUCUAAGAGAAAUGAGUUCAAAAGGUAAGGGCUUUUCUUUUCUUGUAGACUAAUUAUCUCCUUUCCUCCUGUGACUUCAUCCUGGAUAGCAUGACAUGUUGGAAAGAGGGAAUUUGGAGCUAAAUUACUUAAACCCAAGUCCUGGUUUUACUUCUCAGCCCUGUUAUUGGCCAUAUUUUCUCUUCAAUAACAUCAGCUAAUGUUAUCUUUGUUAUCUUACCAGAUGAUAUAAACACUUUAUAAGGCUGACUCUGUUUUCCUCUUUUUCUUUUGGCUGUUACCUCCUUGAUGGGGCUGAAGUAGAAGGGAAGUGGUAAGGAGAAGCUGUCUGGCCUUCCCUGGGAAUAACUGUUCCUUCCUAUCCUCAGCUGCCGCUCAGCUCUGAUGGAACAACACUUAUUCUGGAAAUUUGAAGGGGCUGUGGUGGGUGUGGCUUUGGUCUUCGCAUGCCUUGUCAUCAUCCGUCAGCGACAACUGGACAGAAAGGCUCUGGAAAAGGUCCGGAAGCAAAUUGAGUCCAUAUAGCUACAUUCCACCCUUUUAUCCUGGAUUUUACAGACCAUAUCUUAGAGAAAGUGAAAUGGACUGAUUUGCGCCUUUGGUUCUUAGGAAUCUUGUGGUGGUAACCCCUUCUCCCCAUCUUCCUCUCCAUGUCAUUAAUAAGCACAAUAAAAAAGAGUAAUUUGGUUUCUUUCUCCCUAUAGUAAUUUGUUUUGGGACAGGAAAUCAUGGGAGCAGAGAGAAAAGGGGGUGGCAAUCUCCCAAGUACCUACCUUCCCCCCUUUUACUACUUAUUUAAAACUUCUGGGAUAUAAUUUUAACUAGAAAAU